UCCAAUGAGCUCAACUAAAUCUUCCUUGAUGAGCUGCCCGUGAUGCUGGAAAAAUACCGUUGAAAAUCCAUCUGGGCCAUGCGAACUACUUGCUUUAAUGGCGUGGACAAAGCUUUUUAUUUCUUCCUCCAUCGGCUUCCUACUCAGCCAAAGAAUCAUGUAUGUGGACACAAUUCUUGGAAACCAUCUUGUGCUAUCUGAACAAUCUCUAUUCUCGUAGAGCUUCUCGUAAAAUUCUGUUAAAGCUCAUAUUGUUGAUACUCAUGUUUC
This 270-nucleotide long non-coding RNA is filed under the name Zostera marina. RNAcentral's name for it is "long non-coding RNA (ZMAR_LNC002971)". The record is from RNAcentral. Lineage: Eukaryota; Viridiplantae; Streptophyta; Magnoliopsida; Alismatales; Zosteraceae.